RNAcentral lists this ribosomal RNA (459 nucleotides) under uncultured bacterium. Its description in RNAcentral is "partial 16S ribosomal RNA". It matches the Rfam family "Bacterial small subunit ribosomal RNA", at positions 338 to 795 of the family's 1533-position model. The record is from RNAcentral.
CCUACGGGAGGCAGCAGUGAGGAAUAUUGGUCAAUGGCCGGAAGGCUGAACCAGCAAAGCCGCGUGAGGGAGGAAGGCGCAGAGCGUCGCAGACCUCUUUUGCCGGGGGACAAAAGGCCGGGCUCGUCCGGUCCUGAGGGUACCCGGAGAAAAAGCAUCGGCUAACUCCGUGCCAGCAGCCGCGGUAAUACGGAGGCUGCGAGCGUUAUCCGGAUUCAUUGGGUUUAAAGGGUGCGCAGGGGGGCCUUUAAGCCUGCGGUGAAAGCGAGGGGCUCAACCACGCCGAGCCGUGGAAACUGGGGGCCGUGAGUGCGGCGGAGGCAAGCGGAAUGCGAGGUGUAGCGGUGAAAUGCAUAGAUAUCGGGCAGAACCCCGAUGGCGAAGGCAGCGUGCCGUGCCGCCACUGACGCUGAGGCACGAAAGCGCGGGGAUCGAACAGGAUUAGAUACCCUAGUAGUC